UACGUAGGGGGCAAGCGUUGUCCGGAUUAUUGGGCGUAAAGAGCGUGUAGGCGGCCAGACAGGUCAGCUGUGAAACUCGAGGCUCAACCUCGAGACGUCGGUUGAAACCGUCUGGCUAGAGUCCGGAAGAGGAGAGUGGAAUUCCCGGUGUAGCGGUGAAAUGCGCAGAUAUCGGGAAGAACACCCGUGGCGAAGGCGGCUCUCUGGGACGGUACUGACGCUGAGACGCGAAAGCGUGGGGAGCGAACAGG
RNAcentral lists this ribosomal RNA (251 nucleotides) under uncultured bacterium. RNAcentral describes it as "partial 16S ribosomal RNA". It matches the Rfam family "Bacterial small subunit ribosomal RNA", at positions 524 to 776 of the family's 1533-position model. The record is from RNAcentral.